This 425-nucleotide ribosomal RNA is filed under the name uncultured bacterium. RNAcentral describes it as "partial 16S ribosomal RNA". It matches the Rfam family "Bacterial small subunit ribosomal RNA", at positions 354 to 796 of the family's 1533-position model. The record is from RNAcentral.
GUGGGGAAUAUUGGACAAUGGGCGCAAGCCUGAUCCAGCCAUGCCGCGUGAGUGAUGAAGGCCCUAGGGUUGUAAAGCUCUUUCACCGAUGAAGAUAAUGACGGUAGUCGGAGAAGAAGCCCCGGCUAACUUCGUGCCAGCAGCCGCGGUAAUACGAAGGGGGCUAGCGUUGUUCGGAAUUACUGGGCGUAAAGCGCACGUAGGCGGAUAUUUAAGUCAGGGGUGAAAUCCCAGAGCUCAACUCUGGAACUGCCUUUGAUACUGGGUAUCUCGAGUAUGGAAGAGGUGAGUGGAAUUCCGAGUGUAGAGGUGAAAUUCGUAGAUAUUCGGAGGAACACCAGUGGCGAAGGCGGCUCACUGGUCCAUUACUGACGCUGAGGUGCGAAAGCGAGGGGAGCAAAAGGGAUUAGAAACCCUGGUAGUCC